CUGGCGGCAUGCCUAACACAUGCAAGUCGAACGGAGUUCGAGGGGCUUGCUCCUUGAACUUAGUGGCGGACGGGUGAGUAACGCGUGAGUAACCUGCCUUUCGAGUGGGAAUAAUAUCUGAAAAGAGUACUAAUACCGCAUUAACGUAUAGAAGCCGCAUGACUUUUAUACCAAAGAUUUAUCGCUGAGAGAUGGACUCGCGUCCGAUUAGCCAGUUGGUGAGGUAACGGCUCACCAAAGCAACGAUCGGUAGCCGGACUGAGAGGUUGAACGGCCACAUUGGGACUGAGACACGGCCCAGACUCCUACGGGAGGCAGCAGUGGGGAUAUUGUGCAAUGGGGGAAACCCUGACACAAGCAAUGCCGCGUGAAGGAUGAAGGUCUUCGGAUUGUAAACUUCUUUUGUCAAGGACGAUAAUGACGGUACUUGACGAAUAAGCUCCGGCUAACUACGUGCCAGCAGCCGC
RNAcentral lists this ribosomal RNA (467 nucleotides) under uncultured bacterium. RNAcentral's name for it is "bacterial SSU rRNA". It matches the Rfam family "Bacterial small subunit ribosomal RNA", at positions 36 to 518 of the family's 1533-position model. The record is from RNAcentral.